Molecule: non-coding RNA, 68 nt
Organism: Podarcis lilfordi (Lilford's wall lizard)
Lineage: Eukaryota; Metazoa; Chordata; Lepidosauria; Squamata; Lacertidae
Source: the annotation of a GenBank genome assembly
GCAUAGCUCCGUGGUAGAGCACCUGCUUUUCAUGUAGAAGGUUGCAAGUUCAAUCCCCGGCAGCUGCA